GACGAACGCUGGCGGCGUGCUUAACACAUGCAAGUCGAACGGAAAGGCCCUGCUUUUGUGGGGUGCCCGAGUGGCGAACGGGUGAGUAACACGUGAGUAACCUGCCCUUGACUUUGGGAUAACUUCAGGAAACUGGGGCUAAUACCGGAUAGGAGCCCCUGUUGCAUGGUGGGGGUUGGAAAGUUUCGGCGGGUGGGGAUGGACUCGCGGCUUAUCAGCUUGUUGGUGGGGUAGUGGCUUACCAAGUCUUUGGCGGGUAGCCGGCCUGGGAGGGUGACCGGCCACCUUGGGCCUGAGAUACGGCCCAGACUGCUACGGGAGGCAGCAGUGGGGAAUAUUGCACAGUGGGCGGAAGCCUGAUGCAGCAGCGCCGCGUUCGGGAUGACGGCCUUCGGGUUGUGAACCGCUUUCGCCUGUGACGAAGCGUGAGUGACGGUAAUGGGUAAAGAAGCACCGGCUAACUACGUG
Molecule: ribosomal RNA, 468 nt
Filed under: uncultured bacterium
Lineage: Bacteria
Description: partial 16S ribosomal RNA
Rfam family: Bacterial small subunit ribosomal RNA
Source: RNAcentral